RNAcentral lists this ribosomal RNA (1246 nucleotides) under Pertusaria pertusa. RNAcentral's name for it is "eukaryotic LSU rRNA". It matches the Rfam family "Eukaryotic large subunit ribosomal RNA", at positions 246 to 1291 of the family's 3401-position model. Lineage: Eukaryota; Fungi; Ascomycota; Lecanoromycetes; Pertusariales; Pertusariaceae. The record is from RNAcentral.
GAGAAGUSCCUUCGACGAGUCNWRUUGUUUGGGAAUGCAGCUCAAAAUGGGUGGUAAAUUCCAUCUAAAGCUAAAUACCGGCCAGAGACCGAUAGCGCACAAGUAGAGUGAUCGAAAGAUGAAAAGCACUUUGAAAAGAGAGUCAAACAGUAUGUGAAAUUGUUGAAAGGGAAGCGCUGGCAACCAGACGUGCCCGCGGGCGAUCACCCGGCCUUCGGGUCGGCGCACUCGCCCGCGAUCAGGCCAGCAUCGGUUUCGGCGGCCGGACAAAGGCGCGCGGGAACGUAGCUUCCUCCGGGGAGUGUUAUAGCCCGUGCCGCAAUGCGGCCCGCCGGGACCGAGGACCGCGCUUCGGCUAGGAUGCUGGCGUAAUGGUUGUCAGCGACCCGUCUUGAAACACGGACCAAGGAGUCUAACAUCCAUGCGAGUGUUUGGGCGUCAAACCCAUGCGCGGAAUGAAAGUGAACGGAGGUGGGAGCCUCGGCGCACCAUCGACCGAUCCUGAUGUCUUCGGAUGGAUUUGAGUAUGAGCAUGGCUGUUGGGACCCGAAAGAUGGUGAACUAUACGUGAAUAGGGUGAAGCCAGAGGAAACUCUGGUGGAGGCUCGCAGCGGUUCUGACGUGCAAAUCGAUCGUCAAAUUUGCGUAUAGGGGCGAAAGACUAAUCGAACCAUCUAGUAGCUGGUUCUUGCCGAAGUUUCCCUCAGGAUAGCAGUAACGUUUUCAGUUUUAUGAGGUAAAGCGAAUGAUUAGAGGCCUUGGGGUUGAAACAACCUUAACCUAUUCUCAAACUUUAAAUAUGUAAGAAGUCCUUGUUACUUUGUUGAACGUGGACAUUCGAAUGUACCGUUACUAGUGGGCCAUUUUUGGUAAGCAGAACUGGCGAUGCGGGAUGAACCGAACGCGAGGUUAAGGUGCCGGAGUGGACGCUCAUCAGACACCACAAAAGGUGUUAGUUCAUCUAGACAGCCGGACGGUGGCCACGGAAGUCGGAAUCCDHUAAGGAGUGGUUGCACGCUCCUCACAGCAGGACUCGAUACGCAGUCCUUCUAGAUUGUUCGGCGGGGGGUACCACAGAUUUUGUGGUUGUCCUAAGCCGAGCGCAUCGAUCACCCUAAAAUCGCGUCAACGUUCUCUUGGUUGCAAGAGCCCAUCGCGAGCCCCGUCGCCUGCGGGCGACGGGGUGUACAGACUAUACAGGCUGGGUUCUGGGAGGCCAGGACCUUGACAUAGUCGUGACUCCGCC